UUGGAGGGCAAGUCUGGUGCCAGCAGCCGCGGUAAUUCCAGCUCCAAUAGCGUAUAUUAAAGUUGUUGCAGUUAAAAAGCUCGUAGUUGAAUUUUGGAUUCUUCCAAUUGGUCCAUCUUUUAGAUGAGUACUGGUUGUGUGGGGUCUAUCCGCCUGGUAAUACGUAAUGUCCUUUAUUGGAUGUUGCGGGUAGUCAGGACCUUUACCUUGAAAAAAUUAGAGUGUUUAAAGCAGGCUUAUGCCGGAAUACAUUAGCAUGGAAUAAUAGAAUAGGACGAAGUUGUUUUAUUUUGUUGGUUUCUAGGACAACCGUAAUGAUUAAUAGGGAUAGUUGGGGGCAUUAGUAUUCAAUUGUCAGAGGUGAAAUUCUUGGAUUUAUUGAAGACUAACUACUGCGAAAGCAUUUGCCAAGGAUGUUUUCAUUAAUCAAGAACGAAAGUUAGGGGAUCGAAGACGAUCAGAUACCGUCGUAGUCUUAACCAUAAACUAUGCCGACUAGGGAUCGGGCGAUGUUGUUUCCAUGACUCGCUCGGCACCUUACGGGAAACCAAAG
RNAcentral lists this ribosomal RNA (553 nucleotides) under uncultured Archaeospora. RNAcentral describes it as "SSU rRNA". It matches the Rfam family "Eukaryotic small subunit ribosomal RNA", at positions 548 to 1103 of the family's 1831-position model. Lineage: Eukaryota; Fungi; Glomeromycota; Glomeromycetes; Archaeosporales; Archaeosporaceae. The record is from RNAcentral.